This 36850-nucleotide long non-coding RNA is filed under the name Triticum aestivum (bread wheat). RNAcentral's name for it is "long non-coding RNA (TAES_LNC003521)". The record is from RNAcentral. Lineage: Eukaryota; Viridiplantae; Streptophyta; Magnoliopsida; Poales; Poaceae.
AAAUCCCUAACCCUUAAUCCCAAAUCCUCUCCUCUCGAUGGGCGGCGGCAGCGUGAGCGAGAGGUCCUUCUCCGGCGCCGGUGGCAGCCGUCGGCCCUCCCCUCACCCUCAGCAAGGUUGUGUGCCGCACUUACGGCUCAGCGGCUCGAGGUUGUGCACGGCAUGCACACACGGCGCCGGCGGCUCGAGGUUGUCCGCCGCACGCACACACGGCGCCGACGGCUAGGAGCAGCGCCUUGAGGUUGUGUGCGGCAAGCACGCACGGCGCCCGAGGACUGGAGACCGGGUGCGUGACCCUCGUGCACUGCGGGAAUGGGCGUGCUGGAGGGUCUCAGGCAUGUGCUUUGGGCGACGGCGGCUCUGAUGUGAUUGAAGAAUUUCUGUAGUUGAUCAUUCAGUUGUUGCCUUCUCAAAACUAGUACUUGAUGGUCUGCUGUGACACUGAAGAUCAGUGGUUGAUGUACAUAAAAAAUUCAGAAUAUUUGUUGUGGCACUCAAGAUUAGUACUAGUUGAUCGUUUGCCGGUGGCAAAUGUCUAUUUAUUUUCUGUGCUCUGUUGAUGAACCGGCAUGUCAUGCAAUGUAAUGUUAGCUUGAGCCGGAAUGCUAUGCAAUGUAAGGCUUAUGAAUAUUCUGAAUGGUAUGCAAUGUUAGUCUGUUUGGUAUUUCCUGGAUUAACUUCUUUAAAUUAUGAGUGAUCUUUUGUAGCUUAUGAAUGCUGGUAGUUCAAAUGUAAAGUAAAAGUCAGACAACAAUUGCUUUGAGCAAACCUUUCAAUUUGUUUUAUUGACUACCAUAAGAAAUCGGCAUGCCUGACUAGAACAACACAGACCAUUUCAGAACAUGCUCUGUACCAAUGAUGUACCAAUUUAGCACCAGUUCGAUUCAUGAUCUGUACCAAUUUAGCAUCAGUUCAGUACAAGCUUUGUAAUUUUGACCACUGACCAAGCUGUAAUGACACAUGAUACACUGGAGAAGAACAGAACAGAACAUGUUCUUGAACAUAUCAUACAUGUUUUGCAUACAUGACAAAAAGACAAUAGUUUGCAGUACUGAAGACAUCAUUUUGUAAACUUAAGGUUCAUCACAUGACCAUAUACCAUACAUGCAUGGAAGCAAAUAAAAGAUAGUGCAACUAGUUAAGAAAAGACACCACACAUCAUUUCACAUGCUCAUCUCUCCUCCCUAAAUACAUCAAACAUGCUUGUUUUCCUUGGUUUCUUAAAACCAGUUCUUAGCUGACUGAAAUAUGGUCUUUUUGGCUGAUGUGUUUGCUUCAAAGUGCUUUCCUUUCCCUGGCAUGCUGAUGUGUCAUGCAUGGCUUGUCGAUUUGUCUCCUCAGCUUGUCUAUUGUUCCAUUCUUCUACAUGUUGAUUUCUCUCUCCCCAAUUUUGUACGAUGGAUGUGCCUUGCAUUUGAACUUGACCCUCCCAGGCCUGCUGCCUUGAGUGAUCCUCUCUCUCAUGAAAACCUCUUAUCCUUUCUUGCUCGUCUGCCUGGAACAUUAAAAAUUCCAUUUCUUCUUCUCUUAGAGCAGCUUCAGUUUGUUGUCUCUUCUCGUCGGCAAUUCUCUUCUUUUAUGCAGCCCUCUUAGUUUUUGCUUCCUCUGCUUCUUUCUUUCUAGCUUACAGUGCAUUCCUUUUGGCAUCUGCAAGUGCUUUUUUCUCCUGUUGUGCAGCUAAUUUUAUUCUUUUCCUUUCUUCAAUUUGUUUUCUUUUUUCUUCGGCUGCCAACUAUUUCUCUCUCAAUAUAGCUUUCUUAUUCUCCUCUAGCUCUAGCUUUUUUGCUGCAGCCACUUCUCUCCUUUUCUCUGCAGCUUGCAAAAUCUUUUGCUCUUCUUCUCUUAUCUUGGCCAUAGCUGCUUCAAACUUUGCUUUGUCUGCAACCUCUCUUUUUUCAGUUGCUGCUUUUAUUUUUGCCAGAGCUAGAACCUCUCUUUUUCUAUGAACAUUGCCCUCUUUUGUUACAGUUGUUGGCUGCACAAGGGGGUGGCUUGGGACAUUUUCUUCAAUAAAUGAAGAUAAUGGUAAAGGUCCCGCGUCAGGUGGAUCCAUGGUCUGGCUUGCAACACUCUAACAGAAAAACAAAUGCGAUUUUCGUUACAUGGGAGUGAAAAAAUGAAAUAGCAAGUGCAUGACAUGGCAGUAAGGAAGAAUGAAACAAUAUGUGCAUGACAAUGUGAAAGUAAUUGUACCUCUUCCAGUAAGGUACUAAUGACCUCAACCUCAUAAUUAGGUGCUUCUUGCUGAGAAAAACCCAUAGUUUGCAUGUUCUCCUCCUACUCAUGCACAUUUGAAUAAAUAGGUAAAUCUUUUGCUCAUGUACAGAAAUUCACAUAAAUAGAAAAAUGUUUUGCUCAUGUAAAUUACCUGUGCCAUGGCCACAUAUUCUUCAUCUGAGGAGGAAAUAUCAGGCUCUGCCCUUACUUUCUUCUUUGCUAAUUUCCUCUUCGGUUUCAACCCCAAUUUAAAAUCGUUGCAUCCACCUAUGUUAUAUCCUGCAAGUCCACAAUAACUGCAAUGCAUAAUAGCUCCACCUCUGCCAACUUUCCUCCCUGCCCUACCCUCUUUCUCUUCAGGUUGUUGCCUUCUAUUCUUUCUCCUCCUGCCUUUCUUUGUUUUAAUUUUGGGAGGAAGCACUUCUCUUCCAUACAUUUUCUGCCACUCACUUGCGUCUUUACAUGUCAAUAUUAUGUGCUCAUAGGCCUUGCGGUAAGUCUCAAUAGAGUAACAUUGGUGGACCAUUGAUUCCGGUGGAAUUGUUCAUGUCUCAGAGCUGCCGCUCCAUGACAACAAGGAAUUCCAGUUAAAUCCCACCGUCUGCAACUGCAUUUCCUCAACCUGAUGUCCACACUGAACUGCCUAUUUCUGUCUUGCACUUCACCCAGACCAGCAGGAUCUGCAUGGCAAGUGUUUGCAGCAUCAAUAUGCCUUUGCAAUCUUUUCCUGAUUUUAGGACAUAUGGUUCCAGGCCAAGUUUCUGACUCCAUCUUCUUACCAUAGAUUCUGCCCAUCAAUUGCCCUUUAACCCUCUGAAUCAUGCUCAAAAGAGGGAGUUCUCUUGCUUCUAAAAUAUAUUUAUUGAACACUUCACAAUUAUUGUUCAAUAACACAUCACACUUGAGGAAAUCACUUUGAAAUCCCGUCACCCAUGUUUUAGGGUCUAAUUCCUCUAACCAAUCAUGAGCAUCUUUAUUAAGAACUAGCAUUCUAUCCAUGUUCUCUCUCCACUGACCAUGAUUUGCACUUCUAGCACAUCUCCAUAAUUGGUUUUUCAAUAUUUCUCCUUUAGAAGUUUUAGUGAAAUUCUGCCAUAUGUGUCUCACACAAUACCUAUGCUCGGAAUCGCUGAAAUGUUCUCUAACAACCUCAAUUAAACCAUGUAGGUAGUGUCAUAUAAAAGAACAAAUGUUCAUAAUCAUUGUCAUAUAUAAAAAAACAUUCAUAAGCAUUAUUAACACAACUACUUACCUUCUGCUUGUCAGACAUGACCGUCCAACGUGAGGUGUUGACAAUGCCAAGGUCUUCUUUUAGAAUACUCAAGAACCAUCUCCAAGAUUUUGUGUUCUCAAUUUCCACAAUAGCGAAGGCCACGUGAUAGAUACAGUCGUUAGGAUCCAUUCCUAUUGCAGUCAACAUAAUGCCUCCAAAUUGUGUUUUCAAGUGACAUCCAUCUAAGAAAAUAACAGGCCUGCAAGCUAAAAGAAAUCCCCUCUUGCAUGCAUCAAAUGAGAAAUAACACUUCUGGAAUUGGCCAUCAUCAGCAACUUGCAAAAAGAAUGAGCUGCCAGGAUUUGAUCUCCUUAACUCCGCUGCAUAAUCCCACAACAUAUUGUACUGUUUUAUGUCAUCUCCAUAGAUAAUGUUGAAUGCUAUUUUCCUUGCUCUCCAAAGCUUUUGCCUAUGAACCUUCAUGUUCCAUUCUUGCUGCACCAUCGAUCCUAAACCCUUCAGAGACAUCUUCUCAUCUGCUCUUAUCUUGUCAACAUAUUUGCUAGCUAUGUACUUGGCGGUGAAAGCUCUAACAUGCCACUUCUUACUGCAUGUGUGCUCAUCUUUAAAUGUUUUAACCAUUAUACCCUUUGUUCUAUUGUCAUAAGAAGCAUAUAAAUACCAUGGGCAUCCAUCAUUGCACUUUGCACCAAUCCUUGUUUUGUCAUUUUUGGGAAAUGUGAUUUGCAGUCUCUCCUUGCAACUAUACUCCCUAACUGCCUGUCUGACCAGUGCAACAGAUGAGAAAACCCGCCCCAGAUGAAACUUGGGCUCAUUCAAAUCCUCUUCAGUGAAAUGUUUGAAGUUGAACUUCAUUUCUUCGUCAUCUGAAUCUGGCAAUUCAAGACUAUCAUCUUCAGAAUUGGGCUCUUCUUCUAGCUGCUUCCCUUUUGUCCUUCCUUUCUUCUCAUCAUUACCAUCUACAUCUUCAACUUCAUCAUUCACCAAAUCAUCAUCACCAUCCUCCAGGCCAUAAUCACUGUCAACCAGCUCCGGGUCAUAAUCCGAAUCAUCUGAAUCUGAUUCACUGCUUAAUUCAACCUCCCCCUCUACUAUUCCUCUUCUUGUACUCCUGCUUGAUCCUUGUGCAUUGCUCUCACAUGCAUACAUCAUGUCAGAAGUGUUUUCCUGAACGACAACAAUGCUUUGCUCUAAAGUACUGUUAGUUGUUUUGCUCUUCGAUGGACUAAUCACUGGAGGAUUCGAUACGACGUCAUCCCAUCCUCCUCCACCUAAGAGCCAUCAUGAUCUAGAUAGAACAUAAGGUAUUUGUGCCCCUCCCUAACAAACUUCAUAAUGCAGUUCAUAUCAUUGUUCCUGGAUAUUAAUUUCAGUCCAUCCUCAUUUAUUUGCAUUCCGGGCAGCAGCAUCAAUAUGUCUAUUCUUCCUGCAGUCUCAUAACCCAGUACCUCUAUUAAUUCAUACAACAUAUCAAUGCAGGCGACACUGGCAUCACAGUAGUCAUAGCAGACCUUGCGACCAUUCAUAUAAGACCUAUUGUAUCCAGUGCCAAUGAAAACGCCUCCAUGGAUGAACUCAAUGGUGUAGAAAUCAGUGCCUUCUUCUGUAAAACGAAAAGGAAAACACCAAUUUUAGCAUCCGACAAAGAACCCUAAGAAUCUGCCUACACCAUAACUAAAAUUGUGCUGAAAGUUCCUAAUUGUACUAUAAUAACAUAUCUGGCGAAAACGAUCGACAUGGUCAUAAUACAACUAGCACUUACGAAGCAAAUGCUAGAGAAUAUGAUGGGUGGUUGAAUCUUACCGUACGUGGGCACAUGGCCGCCGCUGUGUCGUUCUACAGGCGACAUCGGCGCCCUUUAGCGACAGACGAUGAUCUUGUCGCCGCCUCGCAAAAUCCCUCGGGAACGACCGACUCUCGUAUCUGCGAUCACGUCGAUCACCAUCCACGGCCGCCAGCCAUGGUCGUCAUCGAGGAAUAACAGAGACAAGCGAAAAGUGCGAAGGGCUCGAACUGGAAACAAUACGCAAUCAGCGGGCCGGUUACACAAUUACACAGCGAAGCGUUUUGGUUGGACCCGCUCGAAGGAUGGCGUGGCACGCAUCUCAGCGCCCAACGUAUGAGGAAACUGUUGGGGAACGUAGUAAUUUCAAAAAAAUUCCUACGCACACGCAAGAUCAUGGUGAUGACAUAGCAACGAGAGGGGAGAGUGUUGUCUACGUACCCUCGUAGACCGUUAAGCGGAAGCGUUAUGACAACGCGGUUGAUGUAGUCGUACGUCUUCACGAGCCGACCGAUCCAAGCAUCGAACGUACGGCACCUCCGUGUUCAGCACACGUCCAGCUCGAUGACGUUCCCCGGGCUCCAAUCCAGUAAAGCGUCGGGGAUGAGUUCCGUCAGCACGACGGCGUGGUGACGAUGAUGAUGUUCUACCGGCGCAGGGCUUCGCCUAAACUCCACGACGAUACAACCGAGAUGGAAUAUGGUGGAGGGGGGCACCGCACAUGGCUAAGGAACGAUCCGUAGAUCAACUUGUGUUGUCCCUAGAGGUGCCCCCCUGCCCCCGUAUAUAAAGGAGCAAGGGGGGAGGGGGCGGCCGGCCUAGAAGGGACGCGCCAAGGAGAAGUACUACUCCCACCGGGAGUAGGACUCCCUCCUUUCCUAGUCCAACUAGGAGACCUUCCAUGUAGUAGGAGUAGGAGAGAAGGAAAGGGAAGAGAGAAGGGAAGGAAGGAGGGGGUGCGGCCCCACCCUAGUCCAAUUCGGACUAGGCCUUGGGGGGCGCGCGGCCUGCCCUAGGCAGCCCCUCUCUCUUUCCCGUAUGGCCCAAUAAGGCCCAAUACUUCUCCUGGCGAAUUCCCGUAACUCUCCGGUACUCCGAAAAAUACCCGAAUCACUCGGAAUCUUUCCGAACUCCGAAUAUAGUCGUCCAAUAUAUCGAUCUUUAUGUCUCGACCAUUUCGAGACUCCUCGUCAUGUCCCCGAUCUCAUCCGGGACUCCGAACUCCUUCGGUACAUCAAAACUCAUAAACUCAUAAUAUAACUGUCAUCGUAACGUUAAGCGUGCGGACCCUACGGGUUCGAGAACUAUGUAGACAUGACCUAGAACUAUUCUCGGUUAAUAACCAAUAGCGGAACCUGGAUGCCCAUAUUGGUUCCUACAUAUUCUACGAAGAUCUUUCGGUCAAACCGCAUAACAACAUACGUUGUUCCCUUUGUCAUCGGUAUGUUACUUGCCCGAGAUUCGAUCGUCGGUAUCCAAUACCUAGUUCAAUCUCGUUACCGGCAAGUCUCUUUACUCGUUCCGUAAUACAUCAUCCCACAACUAACUCAUUAGUUGCAAUGCUUGCAAGGCUUAAGUGAUGUGUAUUACCGAGAGGGCCCAGAGAUACCUCUCCGAUAAUCGGAGUGACAAAACCUAAUCUCGAAAUAUGCCAACCCAACAUGUACCUUCGGAGACACCUGUAGAGCACCUUUAUAAUCACCCAGUUACGUUGUGACGUUUGGUAGCACACAAAGUGUUCCUCUGGUAAACGGGAGUUGCAUAAUCUCAUAGUCACAGGAACAUGUAUAAGUCAUGAAGAAAGCAGUAGCAACAUACUAAACGAUCGUGUGCUAAGCUAACAGAAUGGGUCAAGUCAAUCACAUCAUUCUCCUAAUGAUGUGAUCCCGUUAAUCAAAUGACAACUCUUUUGUCCAUGGCUAGGAAACUUAACCAUCUUUGAUUCACGAGCUAGUAAAGUAGAGGCAUACUAGUGACACUAUGUUUGUCUAUGUAUUCACACAUGUAUUAUGUUUCCGGUUAAUACAAUUCUAGCAUGAAUAAUAAACAUUUAUCAUGAAAUAAGGAAAUAAAUAAUAACUUUAUUAUUGCCUCUAGGGCAUAUUUCCUUCAGUCUCCCACUUGCACUAGAGUCAAUAAUCUAGUUCACAUCACCAUGUGAUUUAACACCAAUAUUCACAUCUGUAUGUGAUUAAUACCCAUAGUUCACAUCGUCAUGUGAUCAAUGCCCAAAGGGUUUACUAGAGUCAAUAAUCUAGUUCACAUGGCUAUGUGAUUAACACCGAAAGAGUACUAAGGUAUGAUCAUGUUUUGCUCAUGAGAGAAGUUUAGUCAACGGGUCUGUCACAUUCAGAGCCGUAUGUAUUUUGCAAAUAUUCUAUGUCCACAAUGCUCUGCACGGAGCUACUCUAGCUAAUUGCUCCCACUUUUAAUAUGUAUCCAGAUUGAGACUUAGAGUCAUCUGGAUUGGUGUAAAAGCUUGCAUCAUUGUAACUUUUUACGACUGGCUCUUUUAUCACCUCCAUAAUUGAGAAACAUCUCCUUAGUCCUCACUAAGGAUAUUCUUGACCGCUGUUCUAGUGAUCUACUUUUAGAUCAAAAUUGUAUUCCUUUGCCAACCUCAGAGCAAGGUAUACAAUAGGUCUAGUACAGAGCAUAGCAUACUUUAUAGAACCUAUGACUGAGGCAUAGGGAAUGACUGUUCAUUCUUUUCUAUUUUCUGCCAUGGUCGGGUUUUGAGUCUUACUCAACUUCACACCUUGCAACACAGGCAAAAACUCUUUCUUUGACUGUUCCAUUUUGAACUACUUCAAAAACUUGUCAAGGUAUGUACUCAUUGAAAAAUCUUAUCAAGCGUCUUGAUCUAUCUCUAUAGAUCUUGAUGCUCAAUGUGUAAGCAGCUUCACCAAGGUCUUUCUUUGAAAAACUCCUUUCAAACACACCUUUAUGCUUUCCAGAAAAAUUCUACAUUAUUUCCGAUCAACAAUAUGUCAUUCACAUAUACUUAUCAGAAUGCUGUAGUGCUCCCACUCACUUUUUAUAAAUACAGGCUUCACCGCAAGUCUGUAUUAAAACUAUAUGCUUUGAUCAACUUAUCAAAGCGUAUAUUCCAACUCCGAGAUGCUUGCACCAGUCCAUUGAUGGAUCGCUGGAGCUUGCACAUUUUGUUAGCACCUUUCGGAUCGACAAAACCUUCUGGUUGCAUCAUAUACAACUCUUCUUUAAAAAACCCAUUAAGGAAUGCAGUUUUGACAUCCAUUUGCCAGAUUUCAUAAAAUGUGGCAAUUGCUAACAUGAUUCAGACAGACUUAAGCAUAGAUACGAGUGAAAACUCUCAUCGUAGUCAACACCUUGAACUUGUCGAAAAUCUUUUGCGACAAUUCUAGCUUUGUAGAUAGUAACACUAUCAGCGUCUGUAUUCCUCUUGAAGAUCCAUUUAAUCUCAAUGUCUCGCCGGUCAUUGGGCAAGUCAAUCAAAGUCCAUACUUUGUUUUCAUACAUGGAUCUUAUCUCAGAUCUCAUGGCCUCAAGCCAUUUUGCGGAAUCUGGGCUCACCAUCGCUUCUUCAUAGUUCGUAGGUUUGUCAUGGUCUAGUAACAUAACUUCCAGAACAGGAUUACCGUACCACUCUGGUGCGGAUCUUACUCUGGAAGACCUACGAGGUUCUGUAGUAACUUAAUCUGAAGUUUCAUGAUCAUCAUCAUUAACUUCCUCACUAAUUGGUGUAGUAGUCACAGGAACAGAUUUCUGUGAUGAACUAGUUUCAAAUAAGGGAGCAGGUACAGUUACCUCAUCAAGUUCUAUUUUCCUCCCACUCACUUCUUUCGAGAGAAACUCCUUCUCUAGAAAGGAUCCACUCUUAGCAAUGAAUGUUUUGCCUUUGGAUUUGUGAUAGAAGGAGUACCCAACAGUUUCCUUUGGGUAUUCUAUGAAGACGCACUUCUCCGAUUUGGGUUCGAGCUUAUCAGGUUAAAACUUUUUCAUAUAAGCAUCGCAACUCCAAACUUUAAGAAACGACAGCUUAGGUUUACUGCUAAACCAUAGUUCAUACAGUGUCGUCUCAAUGGAUUUAGAUGGUGCCCUUUUUAAACGUGAAUGCAGCUGUCUCUAAUGCACAACCCCAAAACGAUAGUGGUAAAACCGAUAAGAGACAUCAUAGAUCGCACCAUAUCCAAUAAAGUGCAGUUACGACGUUCGGACACACCAUAACGUUGUGGUGUUUCAGGUGGCAUGAGCUGUGAAACUAUUCCACAUUGUUUUAAUUGAAGACCAAACUCGUAACUCAAAUAUUCGUCUCCGCGAUCAGAUCGUAGAAACUUUAUUUUCUUGUUACGAUGAUUUUUCCACUUCACUCUGAAAUUCUUUAAACCUUUCAAUUAUUUCAGACGUAUGUUUCAUCAAGUAGAUAUACUCAUAUCUGCUCAAUUCAUCUUGUGAAGGUCAGAAAAUAACGAUACCCGCCAUGAGCAUCAACACUCAUUGGACCGUAUACAUCGGUAUGUAUUGUUUCCAAUAAGUCAGUAGCUCGUUCCAUUGUUCCAGAGAACGGAGUUUUAGUCAUCUUGCCCAAAAGGCAUGGUUCGCAAGCAUCAAAUGAUUCAUAACCAAGUGAUUCCAAAAAUCCAUCUUUAUGAAGUUUCUUCAUGCGCUUUACACCGAUAUGACCCAAACGGCAGUGCCACAAAUAAGUUGCACUAUCAUUAUCAACUUUGCAUCUUUUGGCAUCAAUAUUAUGAAUAUGUGUAUCACUACGAUCAAGAUCCAACAAACUAUUUUCAUUGGGUGUAUGAUCAUCAAAGGUUUUAUUCAUUUAAACAGAACAACAAUUAUUCUCUGAUUUUAAAUGAAUAACCGUAUUGCAAUAAACAUGAUCAAAUCAUAUUCAUGCUCAACGCAAACGCCAAAUAACAUUUAUUUAGGUUCAAUACUAAUCCCGAAAGUAUAGGGAGUGUGCGAUGAUGAUCAUAUCAAUCUUGGAACCACUUCCAACACUCAUCGUCACUUCCCCUUCAACCAGUCUCUGUUUAUAUAACUCCUGUUUCGAGUUACUAAUCUUAGCAACUGAACAAGUAUCAAAUACUCAGGGGCUACUAUAAACAUUAGUAAGGCACACAUCAAUAACCUGUAUAUCAAAUAUACCCUUGUUCACUUUGCCAUCCUUCUUAUCCACCAAAUAUUUGGGGUAGUUCCACUUCCAGUGACCAGUACCUUUGCAGUAGAAUCACUUAGUCUUAGGCUUAGGUCCAGACUUGGGCUUCUUCACUUGAGCAGCAACUUGCUUGCUGUUCUUCUUGAAGUUCCCCUUCUUCCCUUUGCCCUUUUCCUUGAAACUAGUGAUCUUGUCCACCAUCAACACUUUGAUGUUUUUCUUUGAUUUCUACCUUCGCCGAUUUUUGCAUCGCGAAGAGCUUGGGAAUUGUUUUCGUCAUCCCUUGCAUACUAUAGUUCAUCAUGAAGUUCUAGUAACUUAGUGAUGGUGACUAGAGAAUUUUGUCAAUCACUAUCUUAUCUGAAAGAUUUAACUCCCACUUGAUUCAAGCGAUUGAAGUACCCAGACAAUCUGAGCACAUGCUCACUAGUUGAGCGAUUCUCCUCCAUCUUUUAGCCAUAGAACUUGUUGGAGACUUCAUAUCUCUCAACUCGGGUAUUUGCUUGAAAUAUUAACUUCAACUCCUGGAACAUCUCAUAUGGUCCAUGAUGUUCAAAACGUCUUUGAAGUCCCGAUUCUAAGCCGUUAAGCAUGGUGCACUAAACUAUCAAGUAGUCAUCAUAUUGAGCUAGCCAAACGUUCAUAACGUCUGCAUCUGCUCCUGCAAUAGGUUUGUCACCUAGCGGUGCAUCAAGGACAUAAUUCUUCUACGCAGCAAUGAGGGUAAACCUCAGAUCACGGAUCCAAUCCGCAUCAUUGCUACUAACAUUUUUUAACACAAUUUUCUCUAGGAACAUAUCAAAAUAAACAUAUGAAAGCAACAACGCGAGCUAUUGAUCUACAACAUAAUUUGCAAAAUACUACCUGGACUAAGUUCAUGAUAAAUUUAAGUUCAAUUAAUCAUAUUACUUAAGAACUCCCACUUAGACAGACAUCUCUCUAGUCAUCUAAGUGAUCACGUGAUCCAAAUCAACUAAACCAUGUCCGAUCAUCACGUGAGAUGGAGUAGUUUCAAUGGUGAACAUCAUUAUGUUGAUCAUAUCUACUAUAUGAUUCACGCUCGACCUUUCGGUCUCCGUGUUUCGAGGCCAUAUCUGUAUAUGCUAGGCUCGUCAAGUUUAACCCGAGUAUUCCGCGUGUGCAACUGUUUUGCACCCGUUGUAUUUGAACGUAGAGCCUAUCACAUCCGAUCAUCACGUGGUGUCUCAGCACGAAGAACUUUCGCAAUGGUGCAUACUCAGGGAGAACACUUCUUGAUAAUUAGUGAGAGAUCAUCUUAAAAUGCUACCGUCAAACAAAACAGAAUAAGAUGUAUAACAGAUAAACAUCAUAUGCAAUCAAAAUAUGUGACAUGAUAUGGCCAUGAUCAUCUUGCGCCUUUGAUCUCCAUCUCCAAAGUACUGUCAUGAUCUCUAUCGUUACCGGCACGACACCAUGAUCUUCAUCAUCUUGAUCUAUAUCAAUGUGUCGUUACAUGGUCGUCUCGCCAACUAUUGCUCUUGCAACUAUUGCUAUCGCAUAGCGAUAAAGUAAAGCAAUUAUUUGUUGGGUUUCAUAGUAAUUUCAAAAAAUUUCCUACGCACACGCAAGAUCAUGUGAUGCAUAGCAACGAGGGGAGAGUAUUGUCUACGUACCCAACGCAGACCGACUGCGGAAGCGGUGACACGACGUAGAGGAAGUAGUCGUACGUCUUCUCGAUCCAACCGAUCAAGCACCGAAACUACGGCACCUCCGAGUUCGAGCACACGUUCAGCUCGAUGACGAUCCCCGGACUCCGAUCCAGCAAAGUGUCGGGGAUGAGUUCCGUCAGCACGACGGCGUGGUGACGAUCUUGAUGUACUACAGCAGCAGGGCUUCGCCUAAACUCCGCUACAGUAUUAUCGAGGAAUAUGGUGGCUGGGGGCACCGCACACGGCUAAGGAAUAGAUCACGUGGAUCAACUUGUUGUUGUCUUUGGUGCUAGCCCUGCCCCUCUAUUUAUAUGUUGAGCCCCGGGGUCGAAACUUGGAGCAAAAGCCUCCUCAAAGUCGGUUUUGCCCGAAAGGCAAGAGUCCCACUCGGACUCCAGGACCAAACGCCACAAUCCUUGGCGUCUGGCCCAGACGCCAUGGGCCUCGGCAUCUGGCCCAGGGCCAGACGCCAGGGUCUCCGGCGUUUGGCCCCCUGGCCUCCGCAAAACUCCUUUUGCACCGACCUAAAGCCUCAUGGGAUUGACCCCUUGGCCUAACCAUAUCAUCCAAUAUAUGAAUCUUUACGUCUCGACCAUUUCGAGACUCCUCGUCAUGUCCCCGAUCUCAUCCGGGACUCCGAACUCCUUCGGUACAUCAAAACAUGUAAACUCAUAAUAUAACUGUCAUCGUAACCUUAAGCGUGCGGACCCUACGGGUUCGAGAACAAUGUAGACAUGACCGAGACACGUCUCUGGUCAAUAACCAAUAGCGGGACCUGGAUGCCCAUAUUGGCUCCUACAUAUUCUACGAAGAUCUUUAUCGGUCAGACCGCAUAACAACAUACGUUGUUCCCUUUGUCAUCGGUAUGUUACUUGCCCGAGAUUCGAUCGUCGGUAUCCAAUACCUAGUUCAAUCUCGUUACCGGCAAGUCUCUUUACUCGUUCCGUAAUACAUCAUCUCACAACUAACAUAUUAGUUGUAAUGCUUGCAAGGCUUAUGUGAUGUGUAUUACCGAGAGGGCCCAGAGAUACCUCUCCGACAAUCGGAGUGACAAAUCCUAAUCUCGAAAUACGCCAACCCAACAUCGACCAUUGGAGACACCUCUAAUGCUCCUUUAUAAUCACCCAGUUACGUUGUGACGUUUGGUAGCACCCAAAGUGUUCCUCCGGCAAACGGGAGUUGCAUAAUCUCAUAGUCAUAGGAACAUGUAUAAGUCAUGAAGAAAGCAAUAGCAACAUACUAAACGAUCGGGUGCUAAGCUAAUGGAAUGGGUCAUGUCAAUCAGAUCAUUCUACUAAUGAUGUGACCUCGUUAAUCAAUCAACUCAUUGUUCAUGGUUAGGAAACAUAACCAUCUUUGAUUAAUGAGCUAGUCAAGUAGAGGCGUACUAGUGACACUUUGUUUGUCUAUGUAUUCACACAUGUAUUAUGUUUCCGGUUAAUACAAUUCUAGCAUGAAUAAUAAACAUUUAUCAUGAUUAUAAGGAAAUAAAUAAUAACUUUAUUAUUGCCUCUAGGGCAUAUUUCCUUCAUUAUUUGGCACUUGCAUCCUAUGCAACAAAGAGACAACCAUAGGGCUUCUGCCAGUUGCCGAUAACUUCAACAAAACAUGAUCAUCUCAUACAACAACUUAUAUCUCAUCACGUCUUGACCAUAUCGCAUCACAACAUGCCCUGCAAAAACAAGUUAGACGUCCUCUACUUUGUUGUUGCAAAUUUUACGUGGCUGCUACGGGCUUAGCAAGAACCGUUCUUACCUACGCAUCAAAACCACAACGAUAGUUCGUCAAGUUAGUGUUGUUUUAACCUUCGCAAGGACCGGGCGUAGCCACACUCGGUUCAACUAAAGUUGGAGAAACAGACACCCGCUAGUCACUUGUGUGCAAAGCACGGCGGUAAAACCAGUCUCGCGUAAGCAUACGCGUAAUGUCGGUCCGGGCCGCUUCAUCCAACAAUACCGCCGAACCAAAGUAUGACAUGCUGGUAAGCAGUAUGACUUGUAUCGCCCUCAACUCACUUGUGUUCUACUCGUGCAUAUAACAUCAACGCAUAAAACCUAGGCUCUGAUACCACUGUUGGGGAACGUAGUAAUUUCAAAAAAAUUCCUACGCACACGCAAGAUCAUGGUGAUGGCAUAGCAACGAGAGGGGAGAGUGUUGUCUACGUACCCUCGUAGACCGUUAAGCGGAAGCGUUAUGACAACGCGGUUGAUGUAGUCGUACGUCUUCACGAUCCGACCGAUCCAAGCACCGAACGUACGACACCUCUGUGUUCAGCACACGUCCAGCUCGAUGACGUUCCCCGGGCUCCAAUCUAGCAAAGCGUCGGGGAUGAGUUCCGUCAGCACGACGGCGUGGUGACGAUGAUGAUGUUCUACCGGCGCAGGGCUUCGCCUAAACUCCGCGACGAUACAACCGAGGUGGAAUAUGGCGGAGGGGGGCACUACACACGGCUAAGGAACGAUCCGUAGAUCAACUUGUGUUGUCCCUAGAGGUGCCCCCCUGCCCCCAUAUAUAAAGGAGCAAGGGGGGAGGGGGCGGCCGGCCUAGAAGGGGCGCGCCAAGGAGAAGUCCUACUCCCACCGGGAGUAGGACUCCCUCCUUUCCUAGUCCAACUAGGAGACCUUCCAUGUAGUAGGAGUAGGAGAGAAGGAAAGGGAAGAGAGAAGGGAAGGAAGGAGGGGGUGCGGCCCCUCCCCCUAGUCCAAUUCGGACUAGGCCUUGGGGGUCGCGCGGCCUGCCCUAGGCAGCCCCUCUCUCUUUCCCGUAUGGCCCAAUAAGGCCCAAUACUUCUCCUGGCGAAUUCCCGUAACUCUCCGGUACUCCGAAAAAUACCCGAAUCACUCGGAACCUUUCCGAACUCCGAAUAUAGUCCUCCAAUAUAUCGAUCUUUACGUCUCGACCAUUUCGAGACUCCUCGUCAUGUCCCCGAUCUCAUCCGGAACUCCGAACUCCUUCGGUACAUUAAAACUCAUAAACUCAUAAUAUAGCUGUCAUCGUAACGUUAAGCGUGCGGACCCUACGGGUUCGAGAACUAUGUAGACAUGACCUAGAACUAUUCUUGGUCAAUAACCAAUAGCGGAACAUGGAUGCCCAUAUUGGUUCCUACAUAUUCUACGAAGAUCUUUAUCGGUCAAACCGCAUAACAACAUACGUUGUUCCCUUUGUCAUCGGUAUGUUACUUGCCCGAGAUUCGAUCGUCGGUAUCCAAUACCUAGUUCAAUCUCGUUACCGGCAAGUCUCUUUACUCGUUCCGUAAUACAUCAUCCCACAACUAACUCAUUAGUUGCAAUGCUUGUAAGGCUUAAGUGAUGUGUAUUACCGAGAGGGCCCAGAGAUACCUCUCCGACAAUCGGAGUGACAAAACCUAAUCUCGAAAUACGCCAACCCAACAUGUACCUUCGGAAACAUCUGUAGAGCACCUUUAUAAUCACCCAGUUACGUUGUGACGUUUGGUAGCACACAAAGUGUUCCUUUGGUAAACGGGAGUUGCAUAAUCUCAUAGUCACAGAAACAUGUAUAAGUCAUGAAGAAAGCAAUAGCAACAUACUAAAUGAUCGUGUGCUAAGCUAACGGAAUGGGUCAAGUCAAUCACAUCAUUCUCCUAAUGAUGUGAUCCCGUUAAUCAAAUGACAACUCUUUUGUCCAUGACUAGGAAACUUAACCAUCUUUGAUUCACGAGCUAGUCAAGUAGAGGCAUACUAGUGACACUAUGUUUGUCUAUGUAUUCACACAUGUAUUAUGUUUCCGGUUAAUACAAUUCUAGCAUGAAUAAUAAACAUUUAUCAUGAAAUAAGGAAAUAAAUAAUAACUUUAUUAUUGCCUUUAGGGCAUAUUUCCUUCAGAAACGUACACAUGACCGUAUAUGUAGCGUAAUGGCAAGUAUGAGGACUGUUUUGGAGCGAUUCACAAGUUCCAGGACUGUUUUGGAGCAGGCCGACGAGUUCCAGGACCGUGCGUGUAGUUUACUCCGGAAAUGUAUGUUCGAUCGGAGACCUCCUUUUCAGCGCCUUUAGCGCCAGGUUGGCCAACUGGCGCUCAUGCACCUCCUCGAGUGGGCCGGCCCAAAUACACGCGAACACUGUGUCCCUCGCUCGUAUUCUUGCAUCGCUCACUUUCUGUUAUUUCUCUUUUCAAAUACACGCGAACACUAGCUGACCGUUGACCAUUUGACCACCAACCAUCUGAACAAUGACUUUUCCAGAAAAAAAUCAUGCAAUUGAAAAAAAGUCUGUGAAUUUGAAAAAAGUUCAUUGAUUUUGAAAACAGUUCAUCAGAUUUGAAAAAAGUUCAUCGAUUUUUAAACAAUUCAUCAAAUUUGAAAAAAGUUCAUUAAAUUCUGAAAAAAGUUCAUCAGAUUUUGAAAAAAGGUCAUCAGAUUUUGAAAACAGUUCAUCGAAUUUUGAAAAGAGUUCAUCGAUUUUGAAAAUAGUUCAUAAGAUAUGAAAAAAGUUCAUCGGAUUUGAAUAAAAAGUUCAUCGAAUUUGAAAAAAAAAUCACAAAUCUGAAAAAGUUCAUCGAUUUGAAAAAAAUGUUCAUCGAACUCGGAAGAAGAAAAAGGGAAAAACAGAAAACGAAAAAGAAAAAAUAGAAAAAGGUAAAAGGAAAGAGGUAAAAUAAAUUAAAAGCUCAUUCGUAACAAAUCCUCCGUGGUGGCGCGCUGGUUACACCCGUUGUACUACGUGCGAGAGGUCGCUGGUUCGAAUCACAGCUAACGCAGGUCUUUUUGCUGAUUAAAACAGAGAAGAAAAAAGAUGUUGGGCCGGCCCAGCGGGAAAGGGGGGUAUGCGCCCGUUUGUCAAAACGCCUGUAGCGGGCGCUAAAGGCGCCGAAUAGGGUUUGCCGUUCGAUCGGUGAGUUGUGCUAGGUCCACGAAAAGUUACGUGGAAAGAAGGCUUACGGGCUGAAGUGGCAUGUGGCAACGUGUAACUGGGCUUAGUGGGGGCGCGGCCCACCCUGAAAAUUAGGGUUGAAGUGGCAACGUCUCGGCUACGUGAUCCCUCUCUCCCGCCCUCCCCAUGAUGGAAUUUUUUUAGGGUUAUCUUGCCGCUUUAUCUAUACCCCUUCUAAUAAAAUAUGGAUUUGCUUCCGCAUGUUCACCGCCAUCUUAAUUAUCCUAAAAAGUUGCUAAAAAUUACCGUUAUUUUUUUUGAUAAAAGAGAGCUUCCUCUUCGAUUUCAUUUAAAGAAAUCAUAAUGUUCACAGACUAAAAAAAUUACCCUCAAUACCACGCAUAAGUGAAAUAAACGUUUGAUUUGGACAUGACGUUUCAAACACCGUUCACACAACCACCGCGCGACCAAGCAGAUUAUGUUAAUCUGUAACUCUUUCUUUCUUUAUUCCUUCUCUCUCUGUUUUCCUUUUUCCUUUGUCCUUUUUUCCAUUUUUGUUUUCUGUGUUUUCUUUUUUUCUUCUUCUUCCAGGUUUCCUCCCUCACCGACUUUCAUGUUUUUUAUUUUCUUAAAUGCGUGAACUUUUCCAAAUAGAUGAUGCUUUUUUCAACUUUGAUGAAAUUUUGUUUUCAAAAUCAAUGAACUUUUUCUAAUGAGCUUUUUUAAAAAUUGAUGAUUUUUUUUCAAAUUCGAUGAACUUUUUCCAAUUUGAUGAUUUUUUUUCAAAUUUGAUGAACUUUUCUUAAAUUCAAUGAACUUAUUUUCAAUGGACUUUUCCUAAAAUUCAAUGAACUUAUUUUCAAAUUGUGAAUUUUAUUCCAAAUCGAUGAUUUUUUUUUCAAAUUCUAUGAUCUUUUGAAAAAAUUGGUGAACUUAUUUAUAGCUUCGUUGAACUUCUUUUCAAAGCGAUGAACUUUUUCAAAUUUGGUGAACAUUUUCCAAAUUUUAUGAACUUUUUUUUUUAAAUUUUGUGAUCUUUUAAAAAAAAUUGGUGAACUUAUUUAUAGCUUUGGUGAACUUUUUUGAAAACCGAUGAACUUUUUCAAAUUCGGUGAACUUUUUUCAAAAUUCAAUGAAUUUUUUUGAAUUGUAUUAGUUUUUUUAAAUCGAUGACCUUUUUCACAUGUGUGAACUUUUUUCAACAUUGCUGGAUUUAUUUUCUAAUAGAUGAGCUUUUCUUGUCAAAUUGGAUGAUUUUUUUUCAGAAACGACGAACUUUUCCAAUUCAUGAACUUUUUUCAAAAAUUGAUAAACUUUUUAUAUAUAAAGUAUAAAAAUGUAAGGCUUAUUGCGUAAUAGAUAACACGGCUGCAAUAGUUUUUUAAGAUUUCAUGUUCGUUUUUGUCACAUCGAUCUACGGGCUGAAGUGGUUAGCUGAACCAUCUUUCGAAGAGGCGAACCGAGUACGAGUCCUCAUACUCGCAGGUUUUUGCGGGUCUUUUUUCGCGAAACAAUUUCAGCGCAGGUGCAUUCGUGGGCCGACCCACUUGUCGUUUGCUGUAGGCGCCGGUUGACUUCAGGGGCGCUUAAAGCGCUCAAUAGGAGCUCCCCUUUGCACCGCGAGCACUUUUCUUCGCCGCCACCAGCUCCUUCCUCAUCGCCCUCGCAUCUUGACGGCAACCCUACAUAGCGCUGCCUGCCGGCACGAAUUUGCACCGUCCGCCACGACAACCUUCCUCCAGCAACGAGCAACAUCAGAUCAAGCUACCCUUGGGUCCCUAACCUCGGUGGUCAUCGCCGCCGGGGCAGGUGGUGGACUCGCGGUGUGGACAUGGUGCCUGGCCGGGGAGGGGAGUGCCGCACCGCGAGCCUCGUGCCGGCGGGCUACACGCUCGUCUCGCCGGUAGAGGAGUGGGCAAGAUAGUGGUCGCCACGACCCGGCCUGGGUACCCACUGUCCUCCCUACGAGACAUGGUCACCGUCAAGCCCCUAGUGCUGGUCUCAAAUUUCGUAAGCAGGAGCAGGGGGAGGCUUUUUGGCAGCAAGUGCAUAAAUCGUUUCAUGCACGAAAGCGUCCCACGAAAUGUAGAUCAUUCAGCAAUGCAAUGUGAGGUCAUUAUCGUAUCGUUGGUACGCUAUCCAGACUAGCGUCACCAAGUUUUGUAACGUGGUUCGUCAGCUGGAGGCAAGAUGGCCAUUGCAUGCGGCAGAAGAUGAGAUCGUAAAUUUUGCUUCCUCUUGCUCAACUUGUUGAUUGACUCGUUCACUCAAUGUUAGUCUACACAUUAUGUGUAGCCCGCACGUGCUGUCGUGAUGUACCACAUAACAGAGGGACGGUCAUUUACGUACACACACUGUUAGAUGAAAUUAAAGGGGGAAUAUGUGUGGGAGGGCAUGAUCACUUGAUGAAAAACUUGUUGGACAUCCGGUUAAUCUAGUUGAAUUUGAGAUAUUGUUGUACUAGACUUAAUUUGCAUGCUAUGUAUGAAUGAUUUGUGUCAUUUUCUAUCUGAACUUUGAUUAAUAUCGACUGGUUUGCAUGAAUUUGCCCGGUUAGUUCAAAUGCAGGUUGAAAUCGAGCGGCGCUAAAUGACGGCCUCCCGCAUCUGUGUCCGCGUACUAGUCCUUUCCUGUCCGCAGACGAAUGCGGAAGGAAAUUUGCGGGUCGCCGUUGGAAAUGCCCUUAUCUGUUUAGUGAGCAUAUGGACUGCAAGACUUUUAGUACUAGUUAUUUAUACGUGCUUUGCACGUUAUAUUAUCAUCUGUAAUGAAUACUAAAUUAUUCAAAUUAAACUAAAUCUUCUAUAUUAUGGUAAAAUUAUCAUGUAACUUUCAAAAAGUACAUGUGCGUUUGAUGUAAUAUUUUUCACCUUUUCACACAAUUAAUUCAGAGUUUUAUAAAUUGCAUUUAAUUUGUGUGUCCUCGACCUCACAACUUUUUAAAUAACUUAGCAUCCUGUUUGAAAAAAUAAAGUAAAAUCUAAAUCUAAUUUUUCUGCUGGUUAUUUGAUUAUUUCUCUCGACGACCAACAACCACGUGUGAUACUACUUUCUACAGUAUAAUUACUUACUUAGACAAAAAUAAAAAAUGCUUCCGUGCAUGCAUUUAACAAUACUCGCAUGAGUAGUAAAUUGCUAGUGUAGUACUCCCGCUGUUAUUUUAGUUUGUAUAUAAGAUUUGGUCAAAGUCAAAUUUUGUAAAAUUUGACCAACUUUGUUGCAAAAAUAUCAACAUCUACAAUACUAAAUCUAUAUGGUAUGCAAAUUUAUUUCAUGAUACAUCUAACAAUAUUGAUUUUAUAUUGUGAAUCAUGAUAAUUUUUUUCUAUAAACUUAGUUAAAGUUGAUAAAGUUUAAUUUUGACCAAAUUUUAUAUGCACACCAAAAAGAAAGGGAGAGAGUACUAUAGGCUGAUAGCCUUUGCAUGCACACUUGUCUGGAUACUUCUAGCUUGCAGGAGUACUACUCACGUAAAAUAAGUGAAUAUAAUACGUAUGACAGGACGGUGCGAAGCCAUCGGCAGAAUAUAAUAGAGAAGAUUGCCUUCAUCGAGAGAGGCGGAAGACGGGGGUGAGCUAGCGGCUGCUGGCUGCAUGCUUGGAGCGGAGGAGGACGUCCGCCUGUGCAGAGCAACGGAUGGUGUGCGGGAGGAGUUCAGUCCAGAAGAAGAGAUAAUUCCUUAUUUGGUCUUUUCUUAAAAUUUGCUUUCCUUUUUGGCCCUUUAAAUUAUUUUCUUCCUCUUUUGACAUUUAAACUUCAGUUUGUGCCCUAUGUGACCCUUUCAUCCGUUUUUUCAUUCAAUGGUGUUAACUGGCACAUGAAAUGACAAUUUUGCCCUUGAUGGUAGUAUGUCACCAGAAAAGAGAAAAGAAGGGGCAUGAACGAACAGAAAAAAAAGGGAGGGGGGAGGGAUCUGUGUUAGGAGUUUUUUUUAGAAAAAAAAAUCUGUGUUGUGAGUUAAAACACAACAUAACCUCCUGUGCGUGUGCGUAUAGGUUCCUUGCUCUUCCAUGUAUCUGUGUUGGGGCCGAGGUUCCCCGUGCCCGACAAGCGGCCGGCCGUAUCCUCCUCCCGUGCGUGGGUGCGCCGAGGCCGCUGCCACCUCACAUGCACGGCGGCUCCGAGGCUGUCAGCCGUUUUUUUACAUCGUAUUAUAAUUGGAGCUCGUAUCCUUCAGAAACAAUACGUACGUGCAAGCUAGCACACGCAAAUAGCUUGAUUGAUUUUCAAGUAGCAGCAAGGUACGUGCAAGCUAGUAGGCUGGCAGCUUAAUUGAUUCUGGCCUAACUCUUGCGUAGACGCAAGUACGCGACUAGCUUCUGCUCGAUCGAUCUGAUCGUCUCUCGAAACGUAGCGACUUCUUUCAUUGGAACGAACGCGAAACAAAUAGAUGGAUUGCAACAGGCUAUCUGGUGCAACUCGCCGGCCGGCGAGUACAUACGUGCACGGCUAUAGUGCAUGUAUUGUUAGCUAGGUACUGCACAUCAAUUAAGCUGCCAACUUGGCUGCUUUGUUGAGGCUAGAUUGCAGGUACAUGCUCAGCUCCAACACAUCGAGGUGAUUAGAUGCAUGUGUGCAUGUAAAUAAUUUGGUCACAUACAACAGUAGGGGUAAAAUGGUUUUUUUGGGUUAAACUUAACACCGUUACAGGUCAAAUUUGACGGAAGUGUCACAUAGGGAACAAAAUAAAGUUUGAGUGUCAGAAAAGGAAAAAUGCAAAAAUUUGGGCCAAAAAAGGAAAUUAAUUUUAAGAAUGGGCCAAAUAAGGAAACGUAAACAGUCUGAGCCGUCAGAUCUACCCAUAUCGACGGCCACCUUUCUUUUGAUUCACUCCUUCUUAGUCCGUUGGAUCUGCAGAAUCGAGGACUCACACUAUUUUAAGGUGAAGUUUGGCGGGAACACUGUACAUGUGGUGGUAAAUCGGAAGUUCAAAAACUGUUGUAUUAUAGUAGUAGUUAGUAUUUAAGUGUAAACUAGAUAAUUGCGUGUUGCAACGGGUUAGAAUAUUCUAAUAUGUUCAUGUGAUUUAUCUGGUCAUGUUAAUACAAUUAUGUAGCGAGAUCGAGAAGACUCCCCUACGCUCCUCGCCUAGGGUUUGCCUCCUCUAUGGCGAUCUGAUCGCCUAGAGUCUCCCCAUCCAAUUUACCCCGAUCGGCGCCUCCGUCGAUCCUUGCAACCUUUCCUGUUGUGCCCGGAUGGCCUCCUCGGAUGCCAACUCGGCCACGAGCGGCGGCGCCUCGGCGUCCGCCAACCCCGUCCUGGAGGAUUUCUUUGACCAACUAGAUCUGAACGAUGAGGAUUUCAACGAUGUGGAAAUCGAUGAGGAGGAUCCGGUGAUCCAGGAAAGCGUGAGGUGGUUAGCCCUUGCUAGGGUUCAUACUGAGAAGAACUUCUCCCCGGCCGCCUUCUACAAGGAUAUGAGAGCGGCCUGGAAUCCGGCUCAAAGUGUGAGAUUUCGCCCUGUUGGUCCCAAUAGAUUUGUAGUUCAGGCCUCAUGCCUGGGUGAUUGGGAGCGGAUGUUGAUGCAUGGGCCAUGGCUAUUUCGAAACAUGGCGGUUCUGAUGUGUCCGUAUGACAGGUUUACCAAAGCUGAUGAGGUAGUCUUUGAUCAUUUGCCUAUAUGGUUACAGAUUCACAAGUUGCCGGACCCAUAUUGCAAGCAGGAGAUUGUGGGCAAACUGUUGAAUGGCGCAUGCAAAAUCCUGGAGAUGAGGCUAAACGGCAAUACCCGCGGCGACUACAUUAGGGUUAGGGUGGAGCAUGACAUAAAACUCCCCCUGACCAAGUUUGUGAGCAUUGUACGAUCUCAAGCAAGACAAGUCUAUCUGGUUCGAUAUGAGAAGUUGGCCAGAUUCUGCAAGCUCUGUGGCCUCAUUGGACAUGAGCACAAGGAGUGCGGCUCCGGUGUUCAUGACCAGCAGAAGCUCAAGUUCGGUGACUGGCUAUACGGCGACGGCCCUAGCCACUCCCGUCCCGAACCAAACCCUAGCAGGACAGGUGCCCCCAGGCAGCCGGGGGACAAGGGAAGUUCCAAAGCUCCGGUGGAUCCUGGGACUCAUGGGACUGACCCGGAUAUACUGGAUACGACCUCCAGCCCGACUAAGGUACACCGUGAUCACAUGGAGCUGGAACGUGAGGCAAGAAAGAGGCUCAACAUGGAUAUAGCUGGGGAUGUGGACGUGCACACAUCCAACCAGACCAAAACCCUACUUGCCAUCACGGAUGGUAGUCGGAAGGAUGAAGGGGAGACUUCUUCGCCUUCGAGCAGUACGUCUAGUAGCAAACGAGCCAAAUUGUCACAAGAUCAUACUAACAAUGAGAUAUCGGCGGCCUCCCUCGAGGAGGACCGCCGGAUGCAAUGAAUAUACUAUUUUGGAANNNNNNNNNNNNNNNNNNNNNNNNNNNNNNNNNNNNNNNNNNNNNNNNNNNNNNNNNNNNNNNNNNNNNNNNNNNNNNNNNNNNNNNNNNNNNNNNNNNNNNNNNNNNNNNNNNNNNNNNNNNNNNNNNNNNNNNNNNNNNNNNNNNNNNNNNNNNNNNNNNNNNNNNNNNNNNNNNNNNNNNNNNNNNNNNNNNNNNNNNNNNNNNNGCUAAAGUGGAAAAACUGCGUUGGAGACUCGGUUUGAAAGGCUUUCAUGGUGUGAGUAGCGAUGGAAGAAGUGGUGGUUUGGCUCUAUUUUGGGAUGAGUCGUUGAACGUUACAGUGCUAGAUUCUUGCAGCCGUUUUAUUGAUGUCAAGGUAGUUGAUGGCGGCUCGAGCACUUCUUGGCGAGGAACUUUCGUCUAUGGGGAGCCACGUGUUGAGAACCGUCAUCGGAUGUGGGAGCAACUGUGUGGGCUUAGGGCCAGUUCGCGGGAGCCAUGGGUGGUGUGCGGAGAUUUUAAUGAGGCACUUUGGCAGCAUGAGCAUCUCUCUGGUACUCCGCGGUCUGAAGCUCAAAUGGUGGCGUAUAGGGAUUGCUUGGAAAGGUGCGAGUUGGAGGACCUGGGUUUUUCGGGCUUCCCGUUUACCUACAACAAUGGACAACAGGCGGAUCAGAAUGUACAGGUCCGUUUGGAUAGGGCAUGCGCUGAUGAAUCUUGGCGGGAUUCAUUCCCCGCCGCGAGGGUGGUCCAUCUGGCUACACCAUGCUCGGAUCAUUGCCCCGUCUUGAUCCAGAUGGAGGGCCAGCAAGAAGUUAAUCGCCGGGUCCCGACUUUGCGCUAUGAAAUUAUGUGGGAACAGGAUCAUACCCUACCCGAGUUGCUAGCCGGGGCGUGGAACAGACACAAACAGCCUGGCUACUUGAGCUCGGUGGCAAAUUCUCUAAAGGAGGUGCUGAAGGAUUUGAAAGAAUGGAGUAAAAUCAAGUUUGGUAACGUGUUAAAGGAGAUCGAGAAGCUGCGUUCACAACUUGACGAAUUACAGAUGUCGGGUUCAGACUAUGUUCUUAUUCGUGCAAAGAUGACUGAGUUGGACGAGCUGUUAUACCGUGAGGAGAUGCUUUGGCUUCAACGCUCUUGUAUUGAUUGGUUAAAAGAAGGGGAACGGAACACAAAGUUUCUGCGUAGAAGAGCUGUUUGGCGAGCUCGAAGAAAUUUUAUUUGCCGCUUGCAGAAGCAAGAUGGUUCUUGGUGUCAUGUUCCGUCAGACAUGGAGAGAAUGACGUCCUCCUAUUUCAAGGAGAUCUUUACAAAGGACCCAACUCUCUCUCCGGAUGCGGUUCUUGACUGUAUUCAGCAGAAAGUUACACCGGAGAUGAAUGAGUCACUAUGUAGACCAUAUACCGAGGAGGAAAUCUCGGAUGCUUUGUUCCAAAUCGGGCCUCUCAAAGCCCCGGGCUGCGAUGGCUUCCCAGCCAGAUUUUACCAGCGAAACUGGGGUUUAGUAAAAACUGAGAUUGUUGCGGCUGUUCAAGAAUUCUUCUCUUCAGGUGUGAUGACUGAUGGUGUGAACGACACGGCUAUAGUGCUUAUUCCUAAAGUUCCCCACCCUCAGGAACUGAAAGAUUUCCGGCCUAUUAGCUUGUGUAAUGUGCUUUACAAGGUUGUUUCAAAGUGUAUGGCGAACAGACUACGACCUCUUCUGUCAGAACUCAUAUCUGAGAACCAGAGCGCUUUCAUCCCAGGAUGAUUGAUUUCUAACAAUUCGGUUAUUGCGUUUGAAUGCAUCAAUCAUAUUCAGACUGUACGACACUCUGGUCCCGGGCUGUGUGCGUACAAGCUAGACCUGUCCAAGGCCUACGAUCGCGUGGACUGGGUUUUUCUGGAGCGUGCCUUGGCAAAAUGGGGCUUCUCUCCCCUAUGGAUCUCCCGUGUCAUGGCGUGUGUGUCAUCUGUAAAGUACUCGGUGAAGUUUAAUGGGAAGUUGCUGGAAUUUUUCUCUCCUUCGAGAGGACUUCGUCAAGGUGACCCGAUAUCUCCCUUCCUGUUCUUGUUUGUUGCUGAUGCUCUCUCUUCCUUGAUUCAUAAGGUGACGCGACAAGAUGGCCUCGAAGGGAUAAGAAUUUGCAGGGGGCACCAGAAAUCUCCCACCUUCUGUUUGCGGAUGAUUCUCUACUGUUUUUCCAGGCAACAGAGCAUCAGGCACUGCUAGUGAAAGGUUUGUUGAACACGUUUGCGACGGCGACUGGCCAACUGAUUAACCCGUCCAAAUGUUCCAUCCUCUUCUCAAACCAGUGUCCACUGAAUGUUGCACUGCAAGUAAAAAAUAUCCUGGAGGUUACCCAGGAAGCUUUUGAACCCAAAUAUUUGGGCUUGCCGAUCCCCGAUGGCAGGAUGCACAAGGGGAAGUUUGAGUCCUUACAGGAACGGCUCAGGAAAGUUCUUGUUUACUGGAGUGAGCAGUACAUGUCUUCAGGCAACAAAGAGGUUCUGAUUAAGUCGGUAGCUCAAGCCAUUCCGACAUAUACCAUGGGUAUUUUCAAACUCCCCUAUUCAGUGUGUGAUGACCUGUCUCGCAUGAUACGCCAAUACUGGUGGGGGAUGGAGAAUGGCAAAAGGAAAAUGGCCUGGUUGAGCUGGGAUAAACUACGGUUACCUAAAUCCAUGGGGGGCAUGGGUUUUCGGGACAUGAGGGCUUUUAACCAGGCUUUGCUCGCCAAACAGGCCUGGAGGCUCAUCGACAAGCCAGAUAGCUUAUGUGCGCGUCUGUUGAAAGCUAAAUAUUACCCCUUUGGACAGCUCCUCGAUACAGUCUUUCCGAGCUCCGGUUCGGAGGUGUGGAAAGGAGUUUUGCAUGGCCUGGAGCUUGUCAAGAAGGGGGUCAUAUGGCGUGUUGGUAAUGGUACUAUGAUCCGGACGUGGCGAGACCCGUGGAUUCCGCACCCUCAAUCAUUCCGUCCAAUUACUCCUAAAUGUAAUUGUCGUUUCAACUGGGUUUCUGAUUUCCUUGAUGACAAUGGUGCAUGGAGAUUUGAUCGGCUGAGGGAGUUUUUCUGGGAGAUGGAUGUUGAGCACAUUCUGAAGAUCAGACCCUCGCCGCGCCAACGUGAUGAUUUUCUUUCUUGGCACCCAAAAAAAGUGGCCAAUUCACUGUAAGAAGUGCGUACAGGCUGGCCACUUACGAACACAAUGACACAUUUGCAAAUGGUGCCUCCAGCACCAAUCCUGAGGGGAACCGGUCGAGCUGGAACUAUAUUUGGAGGUCCAUGGUCCCUCAGAAGAUGAAGAUCACGACGUGGAGGUGUGCGACAGGUACGCUUGCUACCCAGCAAUGUAAAUCUUAUAGACACCUGGCCACGUCUUCUACCUGUCCGCUGUGUGGUAUUGAUGUGGAGGACUCCUUCCAUUCAUUAGUAACCUGUACCCAUGCAAGAACUCUUUGGAUAAAUAUGAGACGAAGAUGGCCGCUGCCUGGGGACGAGGCUCUCAUCUUUGAUGGUAAAGAAUGGUUGGUUUCCUUGCUGUCUAGGUGUUCUGACGACGUCCGUGUCAUGAUCAUACUGCUUUUCUGGAGGAUUUGGCAGUUGCGGAACGAUAUGACCCAUGGGAAGGCAUCCCCCCGGUGCUUUCUACUGUCGAGUACCUGGAUAGUUACUAUAUAUCGAUCAAGCUAGCUGGUCGCUAUUCCACUGAAGAUAUACUAAAGGGGAAGAUGACCACUGUGGAGAAUGACAGGCCGAGGCUCUCGGUGGAGCGGCCUGCAGUUCCAUGGCCAGCACCACCGCAGGGCACCGUGGCACUCUCGGUUGACGGCUCGUUUCUCCAUCACGAUGGCUCUGCUGCUGCGGGGAUGGUGCUCAGGACCGAAAAAGGGGAGAUUCUGAUGGCCGCGUAUCGUUGUAUCUUUCAUUGCAACGAUCCUCUCGAAGCUGAGCUACAUGCGAUCAUGCAGCAUAUGGCCUUGGCCAUUCAGCAUUCAGAUCUUCCAGUAAUCGUGCAAACGGACUCCUCUGAAGCCCUAUCUAGUUUGACAAAUGAUGGGUUGGUUCAUUCGCGGUAUGGUCAUAUAGUUCUGGAAAUCAAAGAUCUGCUUGGUAGUAGGGAGUUUUCCUCACAAAAGAUUAGUAGACUUCAAAAUAGUGUUGCCGAUCGUCUGGCAAAAUACAGCCGAUCCGAACAAGCUACGGCUGUGUGGCUUGGUUCGGUUCCAUCAUGUAUCGAGGACAUUUGGCCCCUCGACUGUAACACUAUUCAUAUGUAAUGAAACUCCCUUUACCCCCACAAAAAAAAUACAAUUAUGUAAAUAAAUGUUUAUCAAAUCCUGCUCGUGAUUUAUCUAUCUAUAUAAAAUUUAGGAUUUUAUUUGGUAACACUUAUUUGCUAAACACUUAUUAGCUUACUAAACACACUAAAAUUUUAUUUGCUAGUUCUGUUUUAAGGGAAAUCAGUGAAACAACCCAGAGGAGGGGGAAAUCAAAACAGAGAGAGGGCAGGAAGUAUCUAAGGCUAGGAGAAGGACGAGGUGGACCAUAUACCUUACAUUCUUUGGGUGCAGGAGAAAAAAAAGUAGAAACACCGGGCUUUUAAAUUUGUGAAACACCGAUGAAAGUAAAAUCACGUGAAAAUACAUUAGCCUUUUCACAUGAAAGCUCAUAAGCGGUGCUCAAUUAGCUCAAUUAGAUUUGAUAAUAUAUGCACCGAUUAAGGGAUGCAACUUCAGUGCCGUAAAGGCACUUGCCUUUGGGUCACUGACAUGUGCGCCAGUCACCUGUUGGGCCCACACGUCAUAGGCACAAAGGCAGGUGCCUUAAGGUACCGAAGGUCGGUCGUGAUUAAGAUAUUCCUUUUUUAAAUAACAGUAGAUGCAAACACCUCUAUGAUCUAUGUAAUGUCACCUUUUUCCCCUGUAUCCAUUGGGUUUCCCUUUUCUUGUGCAGAUGCCAUUGUUUUUUUAACACAAGUAGGAGCCAACAAGCGCCAAAUUUUCAUUCAUCUCAGAAGCCAAGUACAACGUGAAUUACAUACCCUUCCACCUGAAGAUUUUGAAGAGAAAAUAAAAAAGGGCAAGUACCAUUGCCUUGAGAGGAAUGAAUACAAGUGAAGACAGAUUCUACUCUUGAGUUGAGAACCUGAUGAGCACAAUCAUGAGCUGCCCCAUUGACAUUCCCGGUGAUGUGAUAAACAUCAACAUUUAGAGAUAACGUGUCCUGGAUAAAUCUGUUGAGAGGGAUGUGGACAUCUUCACCUGAUCAAGUCAUCAUUUAUAUUUCUGGAUACCGCCAUCUUUGCCGAGGAAAGAUUGUCAGUUAGGAAAGAUACCUGAUUAAGGUGAAGAGAGGCCGCCACCCCAGCUGCGAGCCUAAGCGCCAAAGCUUCUGCACAUAGAGGAGAAUGAGCAUCAUCCGCAGAACCAUGAUUUUUCUAUCAAGUCCUUGAUCAGUAAUAUGGAAAAAAACAUCAAUCCACUAGUAAAAAAAUGGCUAGCCACACGUUUCUGGCGCGCCGUUUUUAUCAACGCCAGCACUAUUUUUUUUUUCAAAUAGUGAUCAAGCUCAAGGACUAUUUUAUCAAGGCCAGCUCCAGGACUCAAGCUCAAGACCUCACACUUAAGGGCGUGCACAACUAGCCACUUCACCCAACCACUGCAUAUGGUAUCUUGUAGCGCAAAAUAUAUAAGAAAGCACAAAAAUAUUCAUAUAUAUUAAAUAUGUUUUGAAAAAAUCAAAUUUUUUUAUUGAGAAAAAUGUGAACAAUUUUGAAAUGCCACAUAGAUUUUGAAUUUAUGAACGGCAUUAGAGCAGACUUUUUUUGAAAUCGGAAAAAAAUCGGAACAUGAAAGAUUUCUGAACAUCUUUCAAAACAUGAACAAUUUUUAAAACUUGUGGUUUUCCCUUUUUUUCUGUUUUUGUUUGUCCCAUUUUCCUUCUGUUUUUUAUUUUUCUUUUCAUUUUUAAAUUCACAACUAUUUCAUAAAUUGAACUUUGUUUUCAAAUCCAUGAACCUGUUUCCAAAUCCACGAACACUUUUCAACAUUUACGAACUUUUUCCAAAGCCCGUGAACCUUUUUCAAUUUGUGAACAUUUGUUUUCAAAAUUAAGUUUUUUUAAACGAGAAAGCUAACCACCUGUCGACUGGACGUUAGGGACAGGCACAAACGAGUCCCGCGUCGUCAGAUAGAAAAUGAGCGGCUCGUGAUCCAGCUUAUCCCUUCCUCCUUUCUCUCCCCCGACAGCACCCAAUCUCCUUCCUCCUGCGCCAGGUGGCCAAGGAGAGCUACCAGGCGCGAGACCAAGUGUAGCAGCAGCUCCUCGUGGCGGCCAAGCAGGCGGCGGCGCUAGCAGCAAUGGCGCUGGCGCUGGGUACGUCGAGCGUCACCGACUUGGACUGUAGCCUCCUGUCAUCCACGAUGGAUCCCUUCUUCGACCCUAUCACCUCCUUCGACCGAUGCUCCUGCGUCGGCCGGUCGGCGGCAAGCUCAGCCGCGCCAACCCGCCCCCGCCGGCCAAGCAGCAGCCGCAGCAGCAGUGCGGUGCCGAUGCGAUUCUUGACAUGCUCGCUGCGAAGACGCCACUGUCGUCGAGGGACCGGCUGCUGCACGCACAUGCUUCCGCUGCUGCUCCUGUAGUCUCUGUUGUAGUACGUGUAUGCUGAGAAUUAUGGAGCAGAGAUGUUGUCUUCACGCCUUGGUAGCCGAUACAAGGUCUCAACCACAUUUUGGCUGCUUAACCGAAGUUGCAGGGCUGAUUUUGGUGGCUUACAUCGGCAGCCCACGGCUCUACUCUGUUAGCUUCGGUUCAGUAACUUCAGUUCUGUAAGAACUUGCCAAGCCAUUUUUACAUGUACGUAUUUUCUUCCCAAAGAAUAUCACAGAAUUUGAUGGAUGAUCUCCUUCAUGGUGUAUCUCAAUCUAUAAUUUUUUAUAGUAUGAUUAUUCUAUGGAAUGAAUGAUCAUCUCCUCCAUGUAGAAAUGCUACUCUGACUGACUCUUAACAUCCUUCUUGCAUGAUAAUUAAGGAUUGCUGCCACGUGUCUCCGCUCCCCCGCGCUCACGCAGCUGGACGCUCCUUGCAUUGUUAUUCUCAUGGUUCCUUGCAUUGAUCAAUGGUCUAAACGAAGCAACAACAAAAAUAGAGUCCGAUAACUCAUGUACCUCGGUCCCGACAAUUCACACAUUACAAACCUGAUAACUUAUGUACCCCGAUCCUGAUAAUUUUGGCACGGGGUGGGGGGUAGGGGGUUGAUGAUAUAUCCGUCGGUAACGUUGGUGUGAAUAGCAUGGUAACUCACACAUCGAAGACCUGGUAACGUAUGCACCCUGUGACUAGUACUUCCGCGAGGAGGGGUGAUGAAAUAUACCCCUCAUAGCUUUUAUGUGAAUAGCAUGGCANNNNNNNNNNNNNNNNNNNNNNNNNNNNNNNNNNNNNNNNNNNNNNNNNNNNNNNNNNNNNNNNNNNNNNNNNNNNNNNNNNNNNNNNNNNNNNNNNNNNNNNNNNNNNNNNNNNNNNNNNNNNNNNNNNNNNNNNNNNNNNNNNNNNNNNNNNNNNNNNNNNNNNNNNNNNNNNNNNNNNNNNNNNNNNNNNNNNNNNNNNNNNNNNNNNNNNNNNNNNNNNNNNNNNNNNNNNNNNNNNNNNNNNNNNNNNNNNNNNNNNNNNNNNNNNNNNNNNNNNNNNNNNNNUACGUUCGGUAAUUUUUUAUGUGAAUAUCAUGAUAACUCACACAUCAUAGACCUGAUAACUUAUGUACACGGCCCUGAUAACUUUGGCGACGGCGGUGAGGGGUGGGGAAGAGCUGUUGGUGAAAUAUAUCCCCCCCUAACUUUUGUGUGAAUAGCAUGUAACUCACACAUCGCAGACCUAAUAACUUAGAUACAAACACCGCGGUAAAUUUAGACCCAAAUAAAAAGUUGUUGAAACAUACCCUGGUUACUUCUAUGCAAAUAGCACGGUAAUAUAUGCACCGUAGACCUGAUAAAUUAGGUACAAAAACCAUGGUAACUUUAACCCCUGGGAAAGAAGUGGUUGAAAACACCCCCCAGUCACUUCUGCAUAAAUAACAUGUUAAUUUACAUAUAACAUAACUGAUAACUUUAUGGUAACUUUUGACCAAAAAAGUCAUCAAAACAUGCCAACAUGAGAUCUUGUUUCGAAGUUCUCGUCGUGACGGAUUUUUUAUGUGAAAACGAUUUUUUCAACGAUAGUUUGAGCUAUAAAAUAUUUUACAGUUUUGAAAUAACGAGAAUCUACAAUGACAUAUGCUUUCCUGUGCUCUAGUGCAUUUGCAUGUGUGGAGAAUGUUGGAGGAGACAUUUUUAUGUCUGGGUAAUUUCUAUAGUAAACAGGAUGGUAAAUGGCGUACCACAGAGGUGAUAACUUAUUUAGCCUAGGUCUGGUAACUUUUGACCCGAAAAAAAGUCGUUGAAAUAUACCAAUAUGGGAUCUAGUUUCGAAGAUCUCGUCGCAGCGAAUCUUUCAUGUGAAAACAGUUUUUCAAUCGGAUCAACUGUUUGACCUACAAAACAUUUUAAAGUUUUAAAUUUGAUGGAAUUUUUAGUGACAUCAUCAGUUUUGUCCUAUAUGCAUGCAUGCACCUAUUAGGGAAAAAAAUUAGACGAAUAUGUUUGUUUUCGUAUUAAAAAAGUAAUCAACACCCGGCAACAGCAGUGUAGAUGAAUUGUGCGGAUCUGUUGCUUAUCUUCCGGUCAACUGGAAGUUAGCACUGUCCUUUUUUAAAUCCGCUAACACUUGGGUUGGCCCAACAGUACCCGGCUGGACCAAUGUCGUAUUUUGUUUUGUUUUCUAUUUUUUCAUUUUCCUAUUUUUUGGUUAUUCAUUUUCUCCUUUUGAACUUUAUUAUUCCUUUUGAAACCUAUUUAAAAAUUGAAAUAUUUUUGGAAUACCCGAAAAUUAUCUUGUUUUCAAAUAUUGUUUACAAUUUUAAAAAUACUCUGGAAUUUAAAAAAUGUUCUUGUUUUGAUUUUUUUGUUCACAAAUUUAAGAAAUGCUUAUGUUUCAAAAAAGUUGAUAAAUUUUAAAAAAAUAGGUGGUUUGCAAUUGGUGUACAUCAUCAAUUGUUGGGAAUUUUUUCACAAAUUUAGAAAAAGUGUUCAAGUUUCUACAAUUUUCAUACUCAAUUUGAAACUCCAAAAUGUUGAAAAAUUUCAAAAAAUUGUUAGGAUAUAGGAAAAUGUUCAUAUUGAUUGAUAAUCAUGGAAACUAUAAAUACUAGAGGCAUGAAAUCAGGAAAAACUUAAUGCUGACGGAUGCACCCUUCUGGCCUAGUCUAGUACACUCCUCUCAACUGGUGUUAUUUAACUAUGAAUAAGUGACCCCAACUUCUUGCAGCAGCCUGUCAUGAACAUAUGAGGCAUCAAUGCCAGGUUUGAGUGAGUUCCAACACUGUUUGGAUGAUGCGACACGUCCGGCCAUUUAUCAGCCUUUUUUCACUGAGAAAACUCCAGAAAAUGCAAAACUUGCCAAAAAUUCAAACAAUUUGACAUGAUGCCUUGAAUUGGUCAUAAAAGUGGGUGGGAUUUUUUUGGGCCCAUUUAAUGAAGGUGGAGAAACAACGUGCUCGACGGAGCCUUCUGACCUACCCGAACACACUCCGUUGAACAUGGUAUAAUUUUGGACAUCCUUCAAAUGACCGCAACUUUUGCACGAAGGUGGACAUGCCCAUGGUAGGCAUAUGUGUCAGGUUUGAAUGAUUUCUGACACCGUAUGCAAGUUGUGACAUGUCGGACCAUUUAUCAACCUUUUUGAUCCAGAAAACUCCAGGAAAUGCAAAGUUUAUUGAAAAUUAAACAACUUGGCAUGCUACCUUUAAUUGGUCAUAUAAGCUCAUGAAAUUUUUUGAGGUCAUUUGACGGAUGGCAAAAAAACGUGCUCUCAAACGAAGCCUUCUAACCUAACCGAACACCUUUCGGUAAACAUGGCGUUUUUUUGGACAUUCAUGCAAUGACCUCAAGUUUUGCCAGUAGGUGGGCAUGCCCAUGGUAGGCAUCUAUGCCAGGCUUGAAUGGAAAAGUAUUUAAAAUCAUAAUUUAAAUAGGUACUUAAAACUAUUAUUUUAUUUUUCCUCGUUUUCGCGCGCGACAAUGGACCGACACAGGUGGGCAGUCUCUUGUGAAAAAUGUAUUUAAUCCAGAACUUUUUUUUGUCAAAUUCGUCAAUUUUUUUCAAAUUGAUGAACUUUUUUCAUUUUUGCGAUUUUUUCUUUUAAUUUCAUGAAAUUUUGUUCAAAUUGAUGAACUUUUUUCAAUUCCGCGGGCGUACAGGGACUCGAAUUAGACCAGACAAAACCAAAAAAAGGAAACUAGACUUAGAAGAUGCACAACAAAAAGUGUAAAAGAAGUAGCUGAUAUCUACUACACAACCUUCUUCUUGUAGACUCGUGUUGGGCCUCCAAGCGCAGAGUUUUGUAGGACAAUAGCAAUUUUUCCUCAGGUAUAUGACCUAAGGUUUUAUUAAUCCGUGGGAGGCGUAGGAUGAAGAUGGUCUCUCUCAAACAACCCUGCAACCAAAUAACAAAGAGUCUCUUGUGUCCCCAACACACCCAAUACAAUGGUAAAUUCUAUAGGUGCACUAGUUUGACGAAGAGAUGGUGAUACAAGUGUAAUAUAGAUGGUAGAUAUAGGUUUUUGUAAUCUGACAAUAUAAAAGCAGCAAGAUAACUAGUAACAGAAGUGAGCAAAAAAGGUAUUGCAAUGCUUGAAAACAAGGCAUGAGGUUCAUACUUUCACUAGUGCAAAGUCUCUCAACAAUGAUAACGUAUUUGGAUCACAUAACAAUCCCUCAACGUGCAACAAAGAGUCACUCCAAAGUUCCUAUCGCGGAGAACAUAAGAUGAAAUUGUUUGUAGGGUACGAAACCACCUCAAAGUUAUUCCUUCCGAUAAAUCCAUUGAGCUAUUCCUAUAAGUUUCACAAACAAGCCUAGAGUUCGUAGUAAAAUAACAACAUAUGAUACACAUCAAUCAACCCUAAUGUCACCUAGAUACUCCAAUGUCACACUACAAGAAAUAUGUCAACUAGUGACCUUCUGUCAGUGACCCUGGAAGAAUUGGUCAUAAAUCUAUGACCAUUUGAGACCAAUUGGUCAAAACCUGUUCGGGGGGCUCCAAACCCUAAACCAUUGCGACCAUUUUGGUCAGAAAGAUCGAAAUUUCCUUACACGAAAUGGUCAUAAAGCAAACAGUGCUGGUCCGCUGCCUUAUUUCUAGUUGUUAACGACCAAUAUAGAUGGUCAUAGCCUUGUAGAUUGUGGUGGGUUGUGAUGACUAGGCGCCAUCUCAUCAGUUUUGCCUAUGUGUCAUGUCCAUGUGUCAAUUUUUGCACUAGGUUGUGAAGCAACCUAUAUUUUUGUUAUUCCAAAAAUUCCCGAAAAAUUCUCAUAAAUUGUUUGGAUCAUAUCUUCAUCAAAUAUGUCAAACACAUUCCUUGCCUAGUUCAAAAAUAACUCAACAAUAUUCAUUUUCCUAUUCUGUUCAGAGCAGCACUUUGUGAAGGAAGUAUCACUUUGGCAUGUCCAAAUGGUAUCCAUUUUCUACAGUGCUUUCCUAUGCCCAAAUAACCAUCCUCCACCAAAUGCCAGCUUAAUCCAUUCAUUAUUUUGAGCCCAACUUCAACAUUCGUAUUUAUGUCCAGUGUGGUACUUUACAAAGCAAGUACCACCUAGGCUCCUCCUUUUGAGGUGAAAAUGUGUGAAGACAGUCUUCUUAGUAACUAAUCAUCCUCAGCCAAAACUCAUGCCCAUUAGCCAUGUGCAUUUCCCGUACUGCAAAUCAAACACUUGGCUGCUUAUUCAUGUUUGAGCAUCGAUCGGUCUCCUCGUGAGAAUCUUAUGUUGUGAUUUUCUUCCUAGCACCUAUCUGGGGAGUUCCCAACCCACUAGACAUGCAUUGGCCGCCCAGAACACAUGGCAACGCCACGGUCACGUGGUGACCACGCGGCGGGCAUGCGAGCUUACGCGCUCUAGAGUUGGGGCCCUCGGCCAUCGUCCAAACCUCGAUGUCUCGCCAUAAAACCAUGUAUUUCUGAUUAAAUAGAUACUUAUUUACCUAGAAAUGAUUUUUGAAAAAAAUAAAGAGCAAACUAUGAGGCAGCUGCAGUUCAAAUUUGACCCGCUUCCAACUGAAUCUAUGGGAAUUUUUCUUUUUCACGAGAGGUGGAUCAAAACUUUUGACACCCAACCAUUUUGUCAAUUGUGCAUUAAAUAUGGCCUAGUAUUUUAUAAAAUUGAUUAGGUCCAAUUUUGCAACAAAUAUACGGUAGGUCUUUCACAAAAAAAGUCAUUUCAGGCACUCGGAAAAUGAAAAAUGUAUUUUCCGUGAAAAGAAUAUGAAAACUCCCUUAGGCAACAUUGUUUAGAAUUCCAAGAUGCACCCUUGUGCACAAUAUGAGAUCAUUUGAACAAACUAUGCCAUGAAUGUGGCCAUAAGAUUGAUCAUUUGGCUUGAAAGUCAUGAAUCUUCACACUUGAUAGCUCAUUUCUGAGAACACUUUUUAAAAUAAUUACCGUAUUACAAGUUCAUUAUUUUUCCUGGAAACUUGGUCACAUAUAAUGACACAAUGCGAAGGUUUUCCAAUUUUUUAUUUGAAAUUUUUAUGCCCGUUUCAAAAUGCAGUCAAAACGGCGGGCUUGACCGUUCCUAGCUAGUGGUUGAAUCUUGGAAAACUUUUGAUGUUUCUCUGAUUAAAUAGAUAAUUAUAUACCUAUAAAUGAUUUUUGGAAAACAUAAAGAUCAAAAUAUGAGGCAGCUGCAGUUCAAAUUUGACCCGCUUCCUACUGAAUCGGCGGUAAAUUUGUUUUUUUCACCAGAGGUGGAUCAAAACUUUUGAAACCCAACCAUUUUGUUAAUUGUGCAUUAAAUAUGGCCUAGUAUUUUAGAAAAUUGAUUACGUCCAAUUUUGCAACAAAUAUAUGGUAGGCCCUUCACAAAAAAAACUCAUUUCAAGCACUCGGAAAAUGGAAAAUGUAUUUUCUGUGCAAAGAAAAUGAAAACUUCCUUAGGCAACAUUGUUUGGAAUUCCAAGAUGCACCCUUGUGCACGAUAUGAGAUCAUUUGAACAAACUAUGCCAUGAAUGUGGCCAUAAGAUUGAUCAUUUGGCUUGAAAGCCAUGAAUCUUCACACAUGAUAGCUCGUUUCUGAGAACACUUUUUAAAAAUAAUUUCUGUAUUACAAGUUUAUUAUUUUUCCUCGAAACUUGGUCACAUAUAAUGACACAAUGCGAAGGUUUUCCAAUUUUUUGAUAUUUUUUGAAAUUUUUAUGCCCGUUUCAAAAUGCAGUCAAAACGGCGGGCUUGACCGUUCCUAGCUAGUGGUUGAAUCUUGGAAAACUUUUGAUGUUUCUCUGAUUAAAUAGAUAAUUAUAUACCUAGAAAUGAUUUUUGGAAAACAUAAAGAUCAAAAUAUGAGGCAGCUGCAGUUCAAAUUUGACCCGCUUCCUACUGAAUCGGCGGUAAAUUUGUUUUUUUCACCAGAGGUGGAUCAAAACUUUUAAAACCCAACCAUUUUGUUAAUUGUGCACUAAAUAUGGCCUAGUAUUUUAGAAAAUUGAUUACGUCCAAUUUUGCAACAAAUAUAUGGUAGGCCCUUCACAAAAAAAAAAC